UCUUCUUGUUCUUGUUCUUGUUCUUCUGGUGAAGACAAAACCUUUAGCACGCGCCUCUUGGACACAUGUGUCCUUGUUGUUUCUCGUUUAUAUUCUGGUGCAGUGUUCGUGUACCAUGACGGUAUAGGUAGUGGCAGUGACGUAGCAAUAACUUCCGUUGCCAAUGGUGAUGCUCUUGAUUGCCGCUGGAUAAACAUUGUACGGUGUUAGACAUUUACAAUGGAGUAUUAAAAAGUCAGGAAAUUAAACGCACAGUUUGUAAAAAUGGACAAUUGCACCGUCUCACCUCUGGCUAAGUUAACACUCAGGUACACAUUUGAUUGUAAACAUUUGGAAUUUGCCGAAUUUAAUUUCUAUAUUCGUUUAUACAUUCAGACAAUCUGACAGGCAUAAAUACCACAAGAACAGUUCGACAUAUGUAUAUGUUUAAAAAAAAAAAUCAAUCUGUUAACGCAUUGAAGUGUUGAGUGGUGGGAGCUGUUCUUUGGAUGUGUCCGGGUCUCAUUGAGCUUGGUGUUCAUGAAUGUCGUGCACGCUUUGGGUGAUUUAAGGGUGAGGGUGAUGGUGAGGGCCAUGGCCAGCGUGGAAUGGAACGGCGCGUGAGAAAGUCUUCUGGGAACCGGCGAGCGAGGAAAGCGGGUUUGCGGCCCUGCUCGGGUUUGCGGCCCUGCUCGGGAUUGCGGCCCUGUUCGAGAUUGCAGCCUUGCUUGGGAUUGCGGCCCUGUUCGAGUUUGCGACAUACAGAAGGCCGGUGCCGUCAUGGACACGAGGAACUCGGCACUGCUCGAGGCUUUGGAUAAUGCUGACAGGACGAAAAAUGGAGGAUUUAUACAACCGCUCGAUCUGGAUGACGAUUUUUCAUCCGAAGCCGCUGAAAGACCUGUGAUUUUCUCCAAGGGAGAUGACAAGGGAAAGGGACAUGCUUCCCUACCAAAGCAACUUUCUGUGAACUUCAUCACCCGCUCCCCGCUCACCCGUUCCUCGCGCGCUCGAAGUCCUCCGGGCUUGAGUCCCAGCAGCUCCAAUAUGAGAAGGAACCUGAAGGCACGUUCACACUGCCUCGGCUGUGUCUCACUUUGGUCCUCACGCUCUUGUAUUUAUAGAUCAUGUCCUACUGUUAAAUUUGCUUUCUCUCAUCACACUUCUUUACUUUGCUCUUUCCUUUAAAAUGUCAUUUGCACCUUUUCCCAUUUAUUCCUCUUCCUUUUGCUAGACUUCUGUGACCCCAUGCUUGAACAGCCACCCGCUAGAGCACAAGUCAAGUAUGGGAAGCGCUCUGUUGGUCCGCACUCCCAUCCGUAGUGACAUCGGGAGGUAAGGUGUGCGCGAAGUUCAACAUGGGCUGACAUAUUUAGGAACACUUUAACCUUCAGCAAAUUUUGUGCAGUUGUUAAAGGAAUGUCAUGUGAUUUGCACAUGCUGCCAAUGCAAACAAAUGCUACAGGGUGUAGCUGAGUGUUUCCAUUUUGAACGUGUUUUCCUAAUGCUUAUGUUGAGGUUCCGCUGCUCCUCCUUCGGUUGGUUGUGCCAGCAUCCCUUUCUGCCAAUCUGCAGGGGGAAAAAAAAGACCAAGAAAAAAAACAACUCAUCAUCUUUACAUGCAAUAAAGACCCAUAUUCUCACUCUCCCUCAGCCUGGUGUUGGCGCAGUGGUUCGGGCAGCGGCUUUGGAUCCAAAAGGUCCUGAGUUCAAGCCCUGUUGGGCCACUGAAUUAAUACACCAGGGGGUUGACUCAGCCUGUCAUCCUUCUGAGGUCGGCGAAAUGAGUACCAGUGUACUGGGCCGGUGUAUACCCCAGUUGAAAUAAAUGUACCAUAUCCCUGUGUCGUAAGAGGCGACCAGGGUUGCGUCAGGAAGGGCAUCCGGCAUAAAAAACAUGUGCCAAAUCACUAUGCGGAUCAUAGGGUUGAUCCGCUGUGGCGACCCCUAACGGGAGCAGCCGAAAGAAGAAGAAGAUUCUCACUCUCCCUCCUUGAUUGGGCAGACAAAUCACAUUUCUGUUGUCGUCCUCUGCAAGAGCUGCUGUUUAUGGAACUUCCUCAUAAACUGUCUUGGACAGAUUGUGCCUCCAAAGCUGGCCACCACCUCAAAACAGGACCUUACUCUGCUUUCCUAAGCUUGUAGUAGUAAACAAGGGCUUUUUUACAUUUCCUUUGGAUGUCUCAUGCAUUCAAAUCUGUCUGACGUCCUACUCUGCUUUCCAAGCAGUACCCUGAUCGUUUCUACAGUACAUUGAAUGGCCGGCAGGAUUCCUUGAUACUUGCAACCAGCGGUUUUCUUUGCAACACGUUCUGUACCAUGCUCUAUCUCUUUUGGCUGGUGUUCCUCAACAUAGCAUCCCAGGACCAAUCCUGUUCAUGAACUACAUCAAUGAUCUCUGCUUAACUGGAAGAAUCCAUUCUACCUUCUGCCAGAUGGGUUGCAGCAACACAACUUUACAAAUCUUUGAAAAUAGCAACAGAUCAUCUCCCAGGAACAUAUUAUUUAACACCGGAACAUCCCACUCUUACUUUGUCUCUCCUUAAAGACCAGCUUGAAAAUCCCCAAGUUGUUUUUGUGGUCAUCUUCUGGGAGAGGUCUAAUCCUCAGAGUUCUUGGGCCUCACCAUCAGUUGUAACUUAUCUUCGGUAGAUCCAAUCUCCAAGCUGGCCUCCAUAGCUCCCUACCACCAAAUCUCUGCAAGCCAAGUCUUUCUUCUGCCAAGCUUAGUUUAUGACGCUAUCCAAAGGUUCAUCCAAAGUGCAAUGGGAUAUGGCUCCCCAUUAUGGGCUGGUGCUACUGCCUCCCAUUUUGUCAUUCUCAAGGCCAUGGAAUCCAAGGUCUUCCAUAACAUAUGAAUUUGUUACUGGAGAGUGAGAUUAAGGAUCUACUUUCUAAUCUUAUUCAAGUUGGUGGCUUAGGAUUUGUUUUCAAGCUCUACUCUUAGUCUUCUCCUACCCUCCCAUACCCCUGUUCUUCCAUGUUGUAUGCAUUCUGUAAGAGUUCCUUUUCUUAUUCCCCUCCCUACCUCUCAACUUUAUGCUCACCUCCAUUAUUUCAUACCCCUCUUUUCUCACCUGUGAAAGUGUCUUACCGAGUUAAUUCUCAAGCACUAAUUUCAAGUCUGAUAUACACCACCAUCACAUGGUCUCUCCACUUUGUAUUACUGAAGUUUUCUACACCCAUUGAGACCCUGUUCCAACCCUUGUGCUGCAUUUUCUCUUGUCAUGCUUUGGUGCUUCCAUUUGUUGUCAUUCCACUGUUUUCCCUUUGCGUAUUUUGUCUGUAGAUCAUUUGCCCCCUGUUGUUCUGUUCUCCCAUGAGCCUCACCACCUGUAUUUACAAAAAAAAUAUAAAAAAGUUGUGCUUUCCACCAGCCAGAACGACAAAGCAGAAUGUGCCUUUAAAUUCAUUAUUUUCAUGCAAUGUCCCAUCUGUCCCAUUGAUACAAAGGACCAAACACUUUUAUUUAUUACUUACAAAAUGUAAAGAUUUCGUAAGUAUAUUGAUGACUUCCCUCCUCUGUUUGUGUGUUUGUUUGUUUGUUUGUAGGCACGAUAACUCGAGAACGGAAGAAGCUACCAAUGUCAAAUUGCACCACGUGAUAGCAAGCGCUGAUUAGAUUUUGGUCAAAAUCGGUCAAAGGUCACAGUGAGGUCAAACAUAAUUCCGUAAAUUCAUGUGAAGAAAUGGAGUAUUUUUGCUUCGCUCGAUGUUACGAGUUCGUUUUAAUUGCGAUUUUAAUUUUGUCUUCGGUUUUUGCGAUCGCUUAGGAUGCUUAAAACUCGGUUGUCGAAAUUCUGGUAAAAAUCGGAUGUUUUGGAGACGUUUUAAGAUUGUAUAAAAAAUAUUUCACUUGCGCUUCACGGGUCGUCACGUGAUGCAGUGCGCUCGAGCAGACG
This 3881-nucleotide long non-coding RNA is filed under the name Eptatretus burgeri (inshore hagfish). RNAcentral's name for it is "lncRNA (ENSEBUG00000017259.1)". The record is from RNAcentral. Lineage: Eukaryota; Metazoa; Chordata; Myxini; Myxiniformes; Myxinidae.